CCGGAGAUCACCUGCAGCUUGGUGUAUGCAACAUGGCUUCGUACCUCAAAUGUCUUUGUCUCUGUGCCCAAAGGUUUUCUCUGAAUGCAGAAGCAAGUGGAGCUCAGCACAGAGCAGGCUGCAAGUGCCCAAGAAAGAAUGCUCCUAGGAGCUGCCUUCAACUGACGAGACGACCUGACACGCUGACUGGGAAUACAUCACUCAGAGUACAUGGCUGGUGCAUCCUCCAAAUCCUUCACAAUACAUCCUCCAGGGAGCCACCACCAAGCA
Trichechus manatus latirostris (Florida manatee) is the source of this 270-nucleotide long non-coding RNA. RefSeq lists it as uncharacterized. The transcript is spliced from 3 exons. The record is from RefSeq and is a predicted model, not a curated record. NCBI's taxonomy places the organism in Eukaryota, Metazoa, Chordata, Mammalia, Sirenia, Trichechidae.